UGGUUCUGAGUGAUCUCUUUCCUUCCUGUUUCUUUUAGUCUCCUUCACUUCAGGUCCUGUACCUGCUGCAACAGAGGCUGUUGUAUGAACAUAUUGUAUAAUAUUUUUGUUGAGUCUUCAAGAGCAAGAAGGAAGAUCUGAGAAUCUCCAUCCCUGCAAAGCUUUCCAGUUCAUCUGAGCGAUUUGUUGCAUUGUUGUUUGACUACUUUCUGCUGGCUAUCUGCAACAUAUGGCUUCAUGAGGUAACUGCUGGAAAGAGGCAGAAUAAGGAGAGGAAUACAGAUCAUUAAUACAUUUUUACAUCCCUUCAGAUGCUGGGCACUUUGCUUUGUGCAGCAUGGGAACACCUGGAUGGAUAUUUUCUUGGCGUGCUGCACAGAGCAGAUCCUGUCCAUGGAGAGAAGCUCUCCCUUUUGAUCAUUCAAGCUAAUAUGUAGUUCUCCUACAAGAUUAAAAAGGUAUUCCUGAAGGAUGUUCAAAUGGUGACAUCUCGCUGCACUUUUAGAUACAUUUUAGGGGCCUAGUUCUCUUCAGGAUUUUUACAAAUUAUCUAGAUGUGGGAAUUGAAUGCAUUCAGUUUGCAGAUAAAACUUAUUUAGAAGGAGCUGUGGGCUCCCUCAAUGGUAAACAGGGCAUAAAUAAUUAUGGUAAUUGUAUUUGUCUUGUAAACUAAUCAAUACAGAAAGCACAUGAUUGAAUGUGGAGGUUUUUACUGCUUGUUGAGCACACAUAUACAGAAUGACUUGUGGAUUUGGUGGUUUAUCUGUACCCCAUCAGAAACACUCAGAGAGGCCUUCUCUGUGGUUUGCUCACAGGGUCGUAGUGAUUGCCGGAUUUUUACAGGAGGAAGUUUAUAUACACUGAGGGGAAUAUUUCCUAGAUGAUAGACAGGAGGACUUCUUAGGAAGCAGAGUGGUGCUGUCUCUCCCAGCAGGCAGCCUGACUGCAGGAGAUGGAUGCACACCCUUUCUAAACCUCAGGCUAACUAAUGCAUGACUUGAAGGGCAAGUGUUUCACGUUUGUUUGUUUUUUGGUGUGGGAGGAGGUACAGGAAGGAAGUUCUUCAGCUUUUAUUUUGUCUAUAAGUCCUAUGAGGAUAACUUGUCAGUAGUUCCUGCUGAUAGUAAAAUCAGCAUAAAAGCAUUGCAGGUGUUUUGGUCACAUAGAAAGAAAAUGUAAAAUUAUUUCCAUUUCCAUUAUGUUUCACACGAUUUUAUGCAGGCAUUAUAAUUGUCCAGUAAUGUCUUGGUUUUGCUCCUUUCACCUGCUGUUUAAAUUUCAAAGUGUAAAAUAUUAUUUGUCAGGCAAGUGAUUUCCUUUUCAGAUUCUUCUGAGAAAUUCUGCUCCUAAAUGUGACAGUUUCAGUCAGAGGAAUUGGUUUCCUUUUAUAACAGUCUAAUGUCUUGAAGAACAGUUUUAUACUUGAUGGCCGUUUGCUACUUUCACUGUAAAAUUGUUCGUUCAGUUCAUCUGCCACUUCAAAUAAUAACCCACUUAUCACCAGCUAAUGCGAUUUAUUGUUACAACAGAAGGAUUUUAGAAUGCUACCUAACAACAUGGCAAGAACAUAUACUUUAAAAGCAAUAUUUCCGUGAACGCUAUGAGCAUAUUCUUUCCUUUAGGAAUGCAAUUUUCAUGAACGAAUAUCUGCAGGUUUUAAGAAACUUCACUAUUUGGCAGAAGUUCUUUUUGGAUUUGAAAGUCUACAACUCUAGAAUAAAGUAGAUUUUUAUACUGAAGGUUAGUAUAAAUGUCAGUGUAAGAGAGAGGCAGCAUUGCCUGACACUCACAGAGGAGAAAGAAUGAGAUAGUGGGCUGGGCAGCUGGGCCACAGUUAGUGCAACAUCAUGCUAGUGUGUGCAAGGAGAGCUGUAUGGUUCCUCUGCAUCCCCAAAGAAUAAUUGCCACGAUAGCUUUUUGAAGUAAAAUGUGUUUUCGUGCCAA
Molecule: long non-coding RNA, 1944 nt
Organism: Gallus gallus (chicken)
Lineage: Eukaryota; Metazoa; Chordata; Aves; Galliformes; Phasianidae
Exons: 3
Source: RefSeq, a predicted model, not a curated record